This 2308-nucleotide long non-coding RNA is filed under the name Pelobates cultripes (western spadefoot toad). Lineage: Eukaryota; Metazoa; Chordata; Amphibia; Anura; Pelobatidae. The record is from RNAcentral.
CUGGUACGCUCAUGCCCGGGAGCGGUCUGGAACGGUGGGCACAUCUCGGUCCGGCUGCAUUCCCACAUGGUUAUGGGAAUGCCGCCCAUCACUCACCCCCGGUGAUGGCUGCUCCUCCUCUCACAGUGGCUGGGUCUGUAAUCAUUAGAGACGCCAACCGCUGCAGCUUUGUUAGAUUUAAGGUUUUUUUAGUUAACCCUUAAAGUGCCAUUUCAUUAUUGACCUGUGGGUGUGCCACACACACGCCCACGAACACAUGCUUCUCUGCAGCGAAUCAGGGAGCACCUUAGACUAUAUAAACCUGUUUUGUCCAUUUCUCUGUGCCCUGUCGUGGUUUCCAUUGUGGUUAUCCGAGAGAGUGUUUCUUGUGUGUAUUGAUUCUUGUGUAUUUGACCUUGGCUUUCCUUCUGACUAUCCGAUCUCUGUAUUCCUUGACCUUUGGCCUGGCUCCUGACUAUUCUGAUAUCUCCAUUCCUUGACUCGUGGCUUGUUCAUCAUUUACGUUAUUUCUUGUGUUUUUUUCCUUUAUACGUUAAAUCCGGCCAUUCUAAGCCCCGGUAAUACGUUUUAGGAUCUUCCUUUAUAUUAAGUUCUGCGUGUUGGGCAUCAGCUAUUCCUGACACUCUGGGUUUUAAAGGAUUAAACAAGUGUGAUGAAUUCCAAGAUAGUCCCUGGGAACCACCAGAUGAUAAAAAUAAAUACAUUUCUACAUAAGCUAAUUAACAAACAAAUUGAACAUGUUCCUUUAAUAAUUAUCCUGUUUAUCCCUUCACAAAUCUAUUAUAAAUUUAGGAAAAUAAGAAACAUUUUCACCUUGGAAUUAAAUCUAGGUUCUUUUGCAACAAAAAUAUAAUUUAACACCAUAGAAAUAUAUAUCAAGUUGUAGGAAAUCUCUUACAGUUUCACAUUUUAUUGAUAAACCGUAUAAGGAUGAAAACGGCUGAUGUGACCUGUGGAAAGCAUUCAGAAUGUUUGAGUGGCGAUGGGGUUUGCGACAUGUCCCGCACGUUACACCGGCACUAAAGGCACUUUGGAUGGAAAGGUAACACUGUUUAAGAAUUUUGCAUUCAGUUGAUAAAUUCAAAAACCAUUUAAGUGCAGUUCACGUGUUCUUUUCUAAAUCCAGUAUUGAAAGUGGAAUAAAACAAUAAUGAUAAUAUUGGAAAAAAAGAAGACAAACAUUUCUUUAAGGUGACAGACUGCAGAAAGAAAGAAAAAACACAUCAAAGCAGAAAAAUCAAACUCAGAAAAGAAAACGCACAUCAUGAAUAAAGUUCUAAACUCAAAACUCCAGUUCUGGGAUGUCAGUCCGUGCCAAGUUAAACACAGCUAUUGGUAACAUAAGCCAUCUUGCAAGAAAAGGAAAAAAAAAAAAAAACCGAUUUAAAUCGAUGUAAAAUCCUCCUUUUCAAAUAAAAAAUAUGUAUAUAUAUAAAAUAAAAAUUGCACUUGUAAGAAAUUGACCAAUAAUGUUUUUUUUUUUUGAUUUGCUUAUAAGGUGAGAAAAUAGACAGCUGUGACAUAACCCCUGCACUGCAGACAGGCAGAUAGUGGUACAAAAACAAUUAUCCCCAGAUUAGAUCUGACCUCCCUUCACAAAAUGUGCAGUGGGAGGUACAACCAAUCGAUUCCAAUGGCACAACAGGAAAAAGAAAAAAGAAACCGCUCCACUUGCUGUGGAUUUCACAGCAUGAAAAGUCAGCAACACUGAAUUCAAUCUUUGGUUUUUCCAUUUUCUGAUUACAGGAAGGUAGACAAUGAGACAGCGUUCCUGUAUUCCUGUAGUCACUGCUCCUGUGUUAGAUGCAGGAGUUGGUGGAGAGUAGGGCACAGUUGGUCAGAAGAUAUCUGGCUCUCACGUGUGGCGCUUUACAUGUUUGUCUGAGCCAAUGUCCACCGUGAUGUUUGUAUAGAGUGGUAGAAGCUCUUUCGAUAUAAAUGUGUACUGCAGGGAGUUCAUGCCAUCUUGUUUCCAUGUCCGUCGAGUCUUCGCCAACAGAUUGAACCUAAAAGAAAGCAGAUAAGAAUUCAGGACACAAAGCUCAUUCACGGGACUUGAGUUUCGAUAUUGUUAUUGCAGUGCUUAUUGUUAGUCUUACACAACAAGUUGCAAUGGGUCAAACGAUCAGAAUGAAAUCUGCAGUUCUAAAAUGACACAGUGGCUAUUACAGAUCAAUGAUUAUAAAACCCUGGUCUGGCUAGAGAAUGUUUCAGUGGGUCCCACGCCACAUUGUAUAUUCCCCAAGGCUAUAUAGACCCUGCUGGGAAGUGGAAAAAAAAAUGUUUUCCAAUAAGAAAGGCACUGAAG